AUUGAACGCUGGCGGCAUGCCUUACACAUGCAAGUCGAACGGUAACAGGUCUUCGGAUGCUGACGAGUGGCGAACGGGUGAGUAAUACAUCGGAACGUGCCUAGUAGUGGGGGAUAACUACUCGAAAGAGUGGCUAAUACCGCAUGAGAUCUACGGAUGAAAGCAGGGGAUCGCAAGAACUUGUGCUACUAGAGCGGACGAUGGCAGAUUAGGUAGUUGGUGGGAUAAAAGCUUACCAAGCCGACGAUCUGUAGCUGGUCAGAGAGGACGAUCAGCCACACUGGGACUGAGACACGGCCCAGACUCCUACGGGAGGCAGCAGUGGGGAAUUGUGGACAAUGGGCGAAAGCCUGAUCCAGCAAUGCCGCGUGCAGGAUGAAGGCCUUCGGGUUGUACACUGCUUUUGUACGGAACGAAAAGCCCUGGGUUAAUACCCUGGGGUCAUGACGGUACCGUAAGAAUAAGCACCGGCUAACUACGUGCCAGCCGCCGCAGUAA
RNAcentral lists this ribosomal RNA (498 nucleotides) under uncultured bacterium. Its description in RNAcentral is "partial 16S ribosomal RNA". It matches the Rfam family "Bacterial small subunit ribosomal RNA", at positions 30 to 523 of the family's 1533-position model. The record is from RNAcentral.